Molecule: long non-coding RNA, 3037 nt
Organism: Pleuronectes platessa (European plaice)
Lineage: Eukaryota; Metazoa; Chordata; Actinopteri; Pleuronectiformes; Pleuronectidae
Exons: 2
Source: RefSeq, a predicted model, not a curated record
GUCCCCAGGAUGAUGGUCCCCGUCCGGACGUGGCAGCAUCCGCAGCACCGGGUGGUGUACAGCCGGUCGCGGCUGGGCUUGAAGUGAUGCAUGUCCUCCACCAGUGUCGGGAGAAACAUCGGGAGAGUCGCGGUUCGACAGCCGGAGAGAAGAGCCUCGCAGCGGGGGAAACCGUGACGAGCAAACGGACUCGCGGAAACGCCCACAACUUCAGCCGCUGCCACCGCGAGGAGCUGCGAGACGGCGCUGAUCAAAACAAACCCUCUGACGGGGAGGAAGAGGCUGUACCACCGCUCUGUGGGGUGGGGGGGGACUCCACCAAUGGAGAGGACACAGGCCAGCGGUGUGUGAGGAGCUAACCCCUUGUUCUACCUUAAGAAGUGUCAGCUUUAACUCCUGGAAGGGCAGCUGUCUGGUUGAAGCUUCAUAAGAGGUUUGUGUGAAGACUAGAUUGUCGAAUUGUGUGUGUAAGAUGUUCCUGUGCGUGCUGACAUUGUGACCUUGACGUCUAUUAAAUACCUUUUCCUCAUUACUGCUGCAUUUAAUCACUGUACAGACAGAAGAGCCCUCAGUUAAAUGUAGUUCUUACAGUUUAUGAUGCAUUUACAUGGUGCAUUUCAAUAAAUAACUUUGCACUAAAUCAACUAACUCAAACCUCAUAAUUACUAAUUCAUACAAACUAAUACACACUGUGCAGUCUACUCUCGAUGUUUCUACAUAAAAAAAAAGACAUCGAGGAUUAAAAGUUAUACAACUAAUUUAUUAGGAAUUAUACAAUAGAAAAAUAUUAAAUAUUUUAUAGCAGAUACAGAGCAUGGUCAACAUGUGAUACAUUACAGCAUCAAGGUAUCAUCACGUCAUUAUAAACAAUAUUUAAUACACAACCUUAUAUAAGUUUCCCUGGAUUCAAAGUAAUAUUUCAGUAAUUGAGGUUUCCCCCCGUCACACAGUGCGUCACAUAGUUGCUGGUAAAACCAGGUCCUUCAGCAGAUCAGACUUUGGUGUUUUAACAUUAUUUAUAAUAUAAACAACAGAAUGACAGUGAACCAACAAACACAACACCAGGAUCCCCUAACUCAUGCAGAUACAUGGGAUAUUUAUUAUUAUCUAUUAUUCUAUUAUUUACACCCAUCCUGUUUCCUAUUAUGACACAUCAAAAUGUCAUUUCCUGACAAAUGUGACUCUCGGUCUUAUCAUUUUAGGAUAAAGUGCUACAUAAAUGUGUGCUGAAAGAUACAUAAUGAAAGAUUCAAACAAAGCAAUAGUUUUUUAAAGGUCACUAUCGGACAAGUACGAUUAUUCCGAGCAUCCGAUUUCCACAAAUACAUUUUUUGCAAAACACAAUAUCUCUUAAAAUACAAAAGAAGUGGCCUCAUUGGCAGCUGCAGCAGUUUCUUAAUAAACGACACCAAACAUAAAAGUAAUUUAGUCUUAACAGACAAUUCUUCAUAUGUUACCCUAUCAAUUAAUAAAUACCAAUAAACAGUGGACACAUUUGCAUUCUGCACCCCCACUCUCUCCACCAAACAUCUGAGGACAGAACACAUUUGCUGUAGCUGCAGAUGUCGGAUAACAUCAAUAUCAGUGAGAUAGUUUAUCAGGGGAGUUAAUCAUCUCCUUCCCUGUGGGUCUGCUGGCCCUGAAAGUAUCCUAAAUUAUCUUUGUUGCGCCACUUGUAGAUUAAUAUUGCCAUCAGUAUCAAUGCCAGUACCAUCCCUGUUACUCCUCCUGCGAUGAUACCUGUGGAUAUAAAUCACUGAGUUAGAAUAACUGGGGCAGCUGAAUGGAAUGCAGCCGUCGCUCAUCUCAUUCUUUACAGCUUCUGCAUAAAAUGGUGCAAAGUACCUCCGACGAUCUGUGGUUUCUCCAAGAAGCUCUUGCUUUUUGGCACGAUGACGUAUUCUGACCUCACGUCUCUGUCAGCCCACAGAGGUCUGUCGAGGAGCCGCCCUUCGCUGCCGGGACGAUCCAUGACGUCGGUAACCUCAUCAGAUGAGGCUGCAUGAGUAGUUUUGGAAAUAAUAAUGAGAUUCAUACAGGCAAAGCGCAUCAUGAUCAUAGACUGUGUAUAAAACAUGCUCGACCAAUCGCGUAUCAGACUUUCACAUGGUUUCUUUAUCAUCUAAUAAUUAAUUAAAACCAAGGUUGACGUGGACAUGUCCCAUCCACUAGCUUGAAGAAGGCGGGGUUUAUGACCUAUACUGCAGUCAGCCACCAGGAGGCGAUCGAGACAUGUCGUGAAGACGGUUGGCUUCACUUGUGAGUAGCUGUCAUAUCGUCCAUCUUGAUAUGAAGUCUAUGAUCAUUACGUAUUUUCUGUAAACCCUUUAUUUUAUAUUAUAUGAUUUCAGAUAUCAUGAUAAAAAAACACAUAAGCAGUAGCCAUUAUGUGUAGGACAUUUUUUAUUAUUCCUUAUAACUAGUGUGACAAUUUUAAAGCAAGUAUACAAAGGAUCACAAAGGAUUACCGUGCUCUGACCCGUCCCCUGAACCAGACGUGCCCAGGUCAUAGCCUGAUCCCUCCGAGUCUUCAAGAGCUGUGGCAAUCUGAUUCGAGAGAGAGCAAGGAUAUUUUAACUCAAGAAAGACGUCUGAACAAUAGCACCACCUGUGCUGCUUCCUGCCCUGUUGUUGGGACACAUGAAGACAGACGAGCGGCGAUGGAAGCUUAUCAACGUUGUUUCCAUAAAAAAGCAAUAAAGAGCUGAAUCAUGUUCUAGAUACAAAGUCCCGUUGAGGAGUCACGCUCCAAACAACCGGCUGUAGCUGAUCGACUGACGCAGGUGAUCUCUGUUAUCACCAGUAAAAAAGACAUGAGUAGAAUAUAUAGCUCCAAUUAAAGUGAUGAUGGCCCUCCACCCCUUUGACAAAGAAGCAAAGGAGCCAGAGCACAGAAGUUAUUGGGAGCAACAAUUUGAACAGAAUAUAUACAGCAAAGAUAUCCAUCUGGUGAUGCUAUUAUUAAUGUAGUUAAAUAAAUGCAUGUAUUGGGAUCAAAGUAAUUGAUUCGAUUUAUUUUAAUGUGUUUCAACCUUGA